This 354-nucleotide ribosomal RNA is filed under the name uncultured bacterium. RNAcentral's name for it is "bacterial SSU rRNA". It matches the Rfam family "Bacterial small subunit ribosomal RNA", at positions 29 to 412 of the family's 1533-position model. The record is from RNAcentral.
AACGAACGCUGGCGGCAGGCUUAACACAUGCAAGUCGAACGCAUCCUUCGGGGUGAGUGGCAGACGGGUGAGUAACACGUGGGAACGUGCCCUUCGGUUCGGAAUAACUCAGGGAAACUUGAGCUAAUACCGGAUACGCCCUUUGGGGGAAAGGUUUACUGCCGAAGGAUCGGCCCGCGUCUGAUUAGCUAGUUGGUGGGGUAAUGGCCUACCAAGGCGACGAUCAGUAGCUGGUCUGAGAGGAUGAUCAGCCACACUGGGACUGAGACACGGCCAGACUCCUACGGGAGGCAGCAGUGGGGAUAUUGGACAAUGGGCGCAAGCCUGAUCCAGCCAUGCCGCGUGAGUGAUGAA